Molecule: ribosomal RNA, 489 nt
Filed under: uncultured bacterium
Lineage: Bacteria
Description: partial 16S ribosomal RNA
Rfam family: Bacterial small subunit ribosomal RNA
Source: RNAcentral
GAUGAACGCUAGCGGGAGGCCUAACACAUGCAAGCCGAGCGGGAUUUGUUGGUUAGCUUGCUAACUAACAAUGAGAGCGGCGUACGGGUGUGUAGCACGUGUGCAACCUGCCUUUAUCUGGGGGAUAGCCUUUCGAAAGGAAGAUUAAUACCCCAUAACAUAUUGAUUGGCAUCAGUUAAUAUUGAAAGCUCCGGCGGAUAGAGAUGGGCACGCGUAAGAUUAGCUAGUUGGUGAGGUAACGGCUCACCAAGGCUGCGAUCUUUAGGGGGCCUGAGAGGGGGAUCCCCCACACUGGUACUGAGACACGGACCAGACUCCUACGGGAGGCAGCAGUGAGGAAUAUUGGACAAUGGGUGAGAGCCUGAUCCAGCCAUCCCGCGUGAAGGACUAAGGACCUAUGGUUUGUAAACUUCUUUUAUACAGGGAUAAACCUACUCUCGUGAGGGUAGCUGAAGGUACUGGAUGAAUAAGCACCGGCUAACUCCGUG